GAUGAACGCUGGCGGCGUGCCUAAUACAUGCAAGUCGAGCGAACAGACGCGGAGCUUGCUCCUCUGACGUUAGCGGCGGACGGGUGAGUAACACGUGGAUAACCUACCUAUAAGACUGGGAUAACUUCGGGAAACCGGCGCUAAUACCGGAUAAUAUAUUGAACCGCAUGGUUCAAUGGUAAAAUACGGUUUUGCUGUCACUUAUCGAUGGAUCCGCGCCGCAUUAGCUAGUUGGUAAGUUAACGGCUUACCAAGGCGACAAUGCGUAGCCGACCUGAGAGGGUGAUCGGCCACACUGGAACUGAGACACGGUCCAGACUCCUACGGGAGGCAGCAGUAGGGAAUCUUCCGCAAUGGGCGAAAGCCUGACGGAGCAACGCCGCGUGAGUGAUGAAGGUCUUCGGAUCGUAAAACUCUGUUAUUAGGGAAGAACAAAUGUGUAAGUAACUAUGCACGUCUUGACGGUACCUAAUCAGAAAGCCACGGCUAACUACGUG
Molecule: ribosomal RNA, 497 nt
Filed under: uncultured bacterium
Lineage: Bacteria
Description: partial 16S ribosomal RNA
Rfam family: Bacterial small subunit ribosomal RNA
Source: RNAcentral